ACGGGGGCUCACACAAGCGGUGGAGCAUGUGGCUUAAUUCGAGGCAACGCGAAGAACCUUAUCCUGGGUUUUGACAUGUACGGAUUAACCCUGUGAAAGCAGGGCCACGCUCGCAAGAGUGGAACGUGCACAGGUGCUGCAUGGCUGUCGUCAGCUCGUGUCGUGAGAUGUCGCGUUAAGUCGCUAAACGAGCGAAACCCCUAUCUUUAGUUGCCAGCGCGUCAUGGCGGGGACUCUAAAGAGACUGCCGGUGUCAAACCGGAGGAAGGCGGGGAUGACGUCAAGUCCUCAUGGCCUUUAUGCCCAGGGCUGCACACGUGCUACAAUGGGGCGUACAAAGCGCCGCGAAGUUGCGAAACCAAGCUAAUCGCAAAAAGCGUCCCCCAGUUCGGAUUGAAGGCUGCAAUUCGCCUUCAUGAAGCCGGAAUCGCUAGUAAUCGCCGAUCAGCAUUGCGGCGGUGAAUGUGUUCCUGAGCCUU
This 479-nucleotide ribosomal RNA is filed under the name uncultured Schlesneria sp. Its description in RNAcentral is "bacterial SSU rRNA". It matches the Rfam family "Bacterial small subunit ribosomal RNA", at positions 913 to 1382 of the family's 1533-position model. The record is from RNAcentral. Lineage: Bacteria; Pseudomonadati; Planctomycetota; Planctomycetia; Planctomycetales; Planctomycetaceae.